CCCUCUAGACACCUCUAAAUUUCAACCGUAGAAGUUUCUUCGAUUUCACAAAACAAUCAAGAGUAUCAGCCUUAACUUUAUUGCAAAAAUCUAAUUCACCAAUACAAACACUGACUUUCAACAAUGAUUGCAAAAAGUCCUCCCAAAUCCUAUGAACCCAAUUCUAGACCUUUCAAAGGAGCUUGAAGCUAGCUCUCCGAUCCCAAAAUCUUGAUCUUCAAAUGCCUCUUUUCCUUAUCCUCUCCUCCCUUUUAACUCCAUGUGGUCUCCUUU
RNAcentral lists this long non-coding RNA (273 nucleotides) under Physcomitrium patens. RNAcentral's name for it is "long non-coding RNA (PPAT_LNC001905)". The record is from RNAcentral. Lineage: Eukaryota; Viridiplantae; Streptophyta; Bryopsida; Funariales; Funariaceae.